Molecule: non-coding RNA, 608 nt
Organism: Octodon degus (degu)
Lineage: Eukaryota; Metazoa; Chordata; Mammalia; Rodentia; Octodontidae
Source: the annotation of a RefSeq genome assembly
CUCUGAUCACGACUGAGCACAGGAGGGUCACAAUGAAGCUCACAGUCAUCUGUGUUUUCCUUGUCGCUGUUUUAAAAGGUGUCAGGUGUGGGGAACAGCUGGUAGAGUCUGGGGGAGGCUUGGUGAAGCCCGGGGGAUCCCUGAGACUCUCCUGUGCAGCCUCUGGAUUCACCUUCCAUGACUACGACAUGUAUUGGAUCCGCCAGGCUCCAGGAAAUGGACUGGAGUGGCUUGGGUGGAUUAGCCCUAGUGGUGGUAGCACAGACUACCCAGACUCAGUGAAGGGCCGAUUCACCAUCUCUAGAGACAAUGCAAAGAAUAUGCUGUAUCUACAAAUGAACUCACUGAAAACCGAGGACACGGCCAUGUACUACUGUGCAAGAGACACAGUGAGGGGACAUAAGUGUGAUCCCAGACAUAAACCUCCAAGCAAAGGCGCUCAGGACCAACAGGGGGCGCAAGUGGAGCAUGAGAACCAAGGGUUAAAGUUAAAGGAAAUCUACGUGUUCCGCUGGAUCCUACUCAAACAGGACCAAGACCAAGCGUGUGACUGGGACCCUCUGUGCAUGCAGGAUUCUACCUCACCCCCCACUCUAGGCCCGGUGUGA